AUGAACGCUAGCGGCAGGCUUAAUACAUGCAAGUUGAACGGCAGCGGGUUGUAGCAAUACAAUGCCGGCGAGUGGCGCACGGGUGCGUAACACGUAUGCAACCUACCCUAUACUGGGGCAUAACCUUUAGAAAUGAGGGCUAAUACUCCAUGUAAUUAUGAGAAGGCAUCUUUUUAUAAUUAAAGAUUUAUCGGUAUAGGAUGGGCAUGCGUCCCAUUAGUUAGUUGGUAAGGUAACGGCUUACCAAGACAAUGAUGGGUAGGGG
This 265-nucleotide ribosomal RNA is filed under the name uncultured bacterium. Its description in RNAcentral is "partial 16S ribosomal RNA". It matches the Rfam family "Bacterial small subunit ribosomal RNA", at positions 29 to 289 of the family's 1533-position model. The record is from RNAcentral.